GGCGAACGGGUGAGUAACACGUGAGUAACCUGCCCUUAACUCUGGGAUAAGCCUGGGAAACUGGGUCUAAUACCGGAUAUGACUCCUCAUCGCAUGGUGGGGGGUGGAAAGCUUUUUGUGGUUUUGGAUGGACUCGCGGCCUAUCAGCUUGUUGGUGAGGUAAUGGCUUACCAAGGCGACGACGGGUAGCCAGCCUGAGAGGGUGACCGGCCACACUGGGACUGAGACACGGCCCAGACUCCUACGGGAGGCAGCAGUGGGGAAUAUUGCACAAUGGGCGCAAGCCUGAUGCAGCGACGCCGCGUGAGGGAUGACGGCCUUCGGGUUGUAAACCUCUUUCAGUAGGGAAGAAGCGAAAGUGACGGUACCUGCAGAAGAAGCGCCGGCUAACAACGUGCCAGCAGCCGCGGUAAUACGUAGGGCGCAAGCGUUAUCCGGAAUUAUUGGGCGUAAAGAGCUCGUAGGCGGUUUGUCGCGUCUGCCGUGAAAGUCCGGGGCUCAACUCCGGAUCUGCGGUGGGUACGGGCAGACUAGAGUGAUGUAGGGGAGACUGGAAUUCCUGGUGUAGCGGUGAAAUGCGCAGAUAUCAGGAGGAACACCGAUGGCGAAGGCAGGUCUCUGGGCAUUAACUGACGCUGAGGAGCGAAAGCAUGGGGAGCGAACAGGAUUAGAUACCCUGGUAGUCCAUGCCGUAAACGUUGGGCACUAGGUGUGGGGGACAUUCCACGUUUUCCGCGCCGUAGCUAACGCAUUAAGUGCCCCGCCUGGGGAGUACGGCCGCAAGGCUAAAACUCAAAGGAAUUGACGG
This 808-nucleotide ribosomal RNA is filed under the name uncultured bacterium. RNAcentral describes it as "bacterial SSU rRNA". It matches the Rfam family "Bacterial small subunit ribosomal RNA", at positions 97 to 916 of the family's 1533-position model. The record is from RNAcentral.